RNAcentral lists this non-coding RNA (26 nucleotides) under Homo sapiens (human). Lineage: Eukaryota; Metazoa; Chordata; Mammalia; Primates; Hominidae. The record is from RNAcentral.
UGUGCCGAGAGCUAACUGUGUCAAGA